ACAAUUUAAAGAGAGGUGGCAGGAGGCAAAGAGAGGUUGUCCGCACUGUUGUGGAGAAACGAAUCGGAAGACCUCCCUCUGACCGAGACGUGGCCACCUUCCUGAGCGGCUCCUUGGACGGCGAGUUUGCCCGCGACGGAGGCGAUAUCGCCUCGCUGUGGUCCCGCGCCCGCAAUGCCACACGCCGACUGGGUAAACGCCUGGGCUGUCGCUGGGUGUGGAAUGAGGAACGCCGGGAACUAGGAAUAUUGAUACCGCGGCUCGAGUCGGAGGACAACACUGUCAUCACCCCCGGAGCCAGAGGCAUGCUCGAGAGAUCCCUGAAGGCCGCCGUCCACGCGCUCUACAUAGACACCCUGAAGAAAAAAACAGACCAGGGUAAGGCCUUCGAGGUGACCAGCAAGUGGGACUCUAGCAACCACUUCCUCCCCACGGGCAGCUUCACCCGGUUCGCCGACUGGCGAUUCAUACACCGAGCCCGGCUGAAUUGCGUCCCCCUCAACGGAGCCGUCCGCCACGGGAACCGGGACAAGCGCUGCAGGAAGUGCGGGUACGUCGCCGAAACCCUACCCCACGUCCUCUGCAGCUGCAAGCCCCAUGCCAGAGCCUGGCAGCUGCGACACAACGCCGUCCAGGAUCGCCUGGUGAAGGCCAUUGACCCACGCCUGGGGGAAGUCGCCGUUAAUCGCACCGUCCCUGGUACCGACAGCCUGCUGCGUCCAGACAUCGUCAUCACGGACGAGGUCGGGAAAAAGGUCAUCAUGGUCGAUAUAACGAUCCCAUUCGAGAACAGGACCCCAGCCUUCCGUGAAGCCCGAGCCCGCAAGCUUGAAAAAUAUGCCCCCCUGGCUGACACCCUGCGGUCAAAGGGCUAUGAAGUUCACACCGACGCCCUGCUUGUCGGGGCCCUGGGCGCCUGGGACCCAUGCAACGAGAGAGUGCUGAGGACCUGUGGGGUAGGCCGUCACUAUGCACGGCUCAUGAGACGCCUGAUGGUCUCAGACACUAUCCGUUGGUCCCGGGACAUUUACACGGAACACAUCACCGGCCACCGCCAAUACCAAGAGCGAGCCGAUUAGACCUCGCCCACCUGCACGGGAGAAGGGACUCGCUAACUCCCACCCCCCACUGGACCUUAUCCCCCGA
This 1146-nucleotide long non-coding RNA is filed under the name Chrysemys picta bellii (western painted turtle). Its description in RNAcentral is "lncRNA (ENSCPBG00000001599.1)". Lineage: Eukaryota; Metazoa; Chordata; Testudines; Emydidae. The record is from RNAcentral.